This 638-nucleotide long non-coding RNA is filed under the name Crocodylus porosus (Australian saltwater crocodile). Its description in RNAcentral is "lncRNA (ENSCPRG00005009890.1)". The record is from RNAcentral. Lineage: Eukaryota; Metazoa; Chordata; Crocodylia; Crocodylidae.
CUUUAAAAACCGCGCCCAGUCCGAACCCGGCAGAAGCCAUUUUAGGACUCAAUCAAUCAGUCCUGCCUGUUGUGGUCCAGCCAACCGUGACAAUCGCUUCUCCGCCAUCGAAAACUCCUGGUGUAACCCCUCCCCCUGCGCAUCGACCCAAUUUAUGAUCCAUCAACGAAGAAAGAAUUAGCAGUCUGCUUGUAACUUAGAUAGCUGAAACAGAAAGUGUUUAAUCAAACUGCUGUGGCUAUGCAUCUUCAUCAUCGGCGUGAAAGAAGGGGAGGAAGUACGGAAUUUGGCCUUUCCCUCCUGUACGUGUUGAGGGGUACCAGUGAAAGGGAAUUAACUCUCCACCUGAACAGUUGUUACAAACUCCAACCGCUAUUCCCAGGGAAACCAUCAAAAAAACCUUACCAAAUGGACUCAGGACAUGACUAACUGAAAAUUGUGCGGCGGCAGCUUUUUUGUACAAACUGAAUUGUUUCAAACUGACAACAAAAGGAACAGCAAUAACCAUGUACUGGUUUCUACAGGUGUUUGUCAGUAUUAAUGUUAAUUAUGGGUGAACCUAGACAUAAAUUGAAUGACUUUAAAUUACUGCAUAAUGUUUUAAUAAAUACAUUCCGCAUAAGAAGUAAAAUGGAAGG